RNAcentral lists this unclassified non-coding RNA (317 nucleotides) under Hevea brasiliensis (rubber tree). Lineage: Eukaryota; Viridiplantae; Streptophyta; Magnoliopsida; Malpighiales; Euphorbiaceae. The record is from RNAcentral.
AGAAAGUCUGCGUAGUCUCGAACUCUAAGACGGCCAUGGUUUGUAAUUCUGAAAUAGGUGUCUAGAGAUGCGCAGAUAACGGAUUGCAAGAAGCUGCAAAGCCACCAUACUCUUAGAAGCCAAGGGAACUUGGCAUUCUGGUCAUGCAGGACCCUGUAUACUACAAUCACUGUAAUUACUGAUGAUCCUAGUUGCAUGAUCUGAGAUGAAAGGGCAAAAAGUUUAGAGUCGCAACGGGUCUCCUGACCAUUUAGCAGCAUCAGGAGCGCUAAUAAGUGUAAUCCCAGCAGCAAAAUGGAGCAAACGAUGGUGGCUUU